GUCUAUGGCCAUACCACCCAGAAUGUGCCUGAUCCUCUCUGAGCUCUGAAGCUAAGCAGGGUUGGGCUUGGUUAGUACUUGGAUGAGAGACAAAAAACAGUUACCGAACACU
RNAcentral lists this ribosomal RNA (112 nucleotides) under Microtus ochrogaster (prairie vole). Lineage: Eukaryota; Metazoa; Chordata; Mammalia; Rodentia; Cricetidae. The record is from RNAcentral.